GGUGAGAUAACUGGGUCAAAUGGUAGUUGCAUUCCAAAUUUUUGAGGAAUCUCCAUACUGCUUUCCAUAGUGGUUGCACCAAUUUGCUGUCCCACCAGCAAU
Molecule: microRNA precursor, 102 nt
Filed under: Marmota monax (woodchuck)
Lineage: Eukaryota; Metazoa; Chordata; Mammalia; Rodentia; Sciuridae
Source: RNAcentral